Molecule: small RNA, 308 nt
Filed under: Cryptococcus neoformans H99
Lineage: Eukaryota; Fungi; Basidiomycota; Tremellomycetes; Tremellales; Cryptococcaceae
Description: Cryptococcus neoformans var. grubii H99 hypothetical RNA
Source: RNAcentral
GCCGGCUGUUCUCAAUGCGAGCGGUCACAUUGUACAUGGGAGAUGGUAAAGAUCGGACGCAAAAUAAUAAAAAAUAUUAGGAGAGAUGGCCGCAAAUGAAAAAGAGUGAUUAGAACUAUAUGGAUUGGAUUAGAAAUGGGUUUUAGGAAAUAGAAACAGCGGUGUUUUGUCGCUGGCACAAGCGACACAAGAGCGAACGUCGAAAACUUCGCUUAUUGAACGACAUCCUGACAGUACUCCACAAACAGGCGUUAUCCCUUUUUCAGCAGAGGAGUGCUACCGAGGUUCAAUGACUAGCUGCGGGGGAG